GAGACGACUCCAUGUUUUUCUUUCAGUCUAUGAAUGAAUAUAACGUCGCCCGGUUGGAAUAUUAUCGCUAUUUUACGAGAAAAAUAGCAUAAAAAUUUAUUUUAAACAGCGUUUGACAUGCUUCGAAGUACGGUAAUGGAAUAUUUUGAUUUUUUUUGUCACGAAAUGCACCGGCGCGUCACCCUUCGGAUAGUGACCUCAACGCAUGAACAAAACGGAGCUAUUUCAAUAUAACUAUGGAUUAUUUCGAACCAAAACAACAUUUGUUGUUGAAGUAAAAGUCCUGGGAGUGCAUUCUGACAAAGAACAGGAAAGAAGUGCCUUCUGAUAAAGAUAAUCAAAGGCUGGUGUUUCCUGGUCCCCUGGCUGAUGCUGUCCCCCAUGACACCCUCCGCCACCCUUGGACAAUGAGGGAAGCCCCACCUAUGCCAUCAGAUCUCUCCUGGACCCCCAACAUUGUUGGGGUCGGCUACAGUACCUGGUGGACUGGGAGAGGUACGGUCCAGAGGAGCGGUGUUGGGUCCGGUGGAUGACAUUCUAGAUCCCAACAUCAUCCGAGAUUUCCACCUUCGCCAUCCGGACCGGCCCACUCCUCGCCCUCAGGGCUGUCCUGUGGCUGGAGCCUCACGUCAGGGGGUGUACUGCCAUGUCUAAUCCCGCUCCACCACUCCGGUGCGCAAUGUUGGUGGUUUACUAACCACAGUUCCUGGGAACCCAUCAUUACACACAUCUGGCAACCAUCAUUACGCACAACUGCGUCACAUCAUUAGGCACACCUAUACUUUAUCAAUACCCUGAUUAACCCCCUUUAUUUAGCCCUCAGUUGUCAUCAGUCCGUAGGUGUUAUUGGUUCUCUCACAUUCAGUACGCUUCCCAUGUUUGUUCUUUUGUAUCUGUUCAGUAUUAAACUCAAUUUCUGCACCUACUUUCUGACUCCUGGCGUAUACGCUACAAUCACGGUGGCAAGGCAUAUGAACUAACAGGAUGUAUAGACCAAACAACGCAAUUUUGACAACAUAUGGGUUGUAAUAUGACAAUUUUUUCCUGAUAGGGCUUCUCCAUUAAUUUUACC
This 1072-nucleotide long non-coding RNA is filed under the name Salmo salar (Atlantic salmon). Its description in RNAcentral is "lncRNA (ENSSSAG00000102892.1)". The record is from RNAcentral. Lineage: Eukaryota; Metazoa; Chordata; Actinopteri; Salmoniformes; Salmonidae.